GUGAAUCAUCAAAUCUUUGAACGCAAAUUGCACUCUCCUCGGAGAGUAUGCCUGUUUGAGGGUCAGCCUAUAAAAAAUCGACAUCGUUGCUGUUUCGCGGUGGCGUUCGUCGGAAAUUGGGUCAUCUUAAAUCUUCUUGGUUUUUAGGGGCCUUAAAUUUUUCUUUUUGUUUUCAUGAACGUUUAAAUGAUUUUUUUCUUUAUACGUUUAAGGUAUCGUU
RNAcentral lists this unclassified non-coding RNA (220 nucleotides) under Glomus sp. Its description in RNAcentral is "partial contains 5.8S ribosomal RNA and internal transcribed spacer 2". The stretch from base 1 to 65 matches the Rfam family "5.8S ribosomal RNA", at positions 84 to 154 of the family's 154-position model. The record is from RNAcentral. Lineage: Eukaryota; Fungi; Glomeromycota; Glomeromycetes; Glomerales; Glomeraceae.